ACUGUGCUGGAGGGAGGUGAGGGACUGCUGGCAGCCAGAGAGCUAGGAGAGAAUGCUGACAGAGAUAAGAGGAGAGGAAGCCAGACCUGGUGACCGAGUCUUGCUGAUGUGAAAAUGGAUGUGGCAGUAAAGAAAUUGGCAUUUAUGGCGACAGGGGUGGACAGAAGUGUGCUUGCACAUCCUUUGAGUGCUGGGGGUGAGUUCUGGUUAGAAAGUUGGGGCCACUCCCUGGCCUUGUCUCUGGGCUGUCCAGUGACCAAGAUUAACUGGUGAUCUCUGUGAUAGGCAUUUUAAGACUUAUUCCAGCCUCAGAGCAUCCUGUGCCCACACUCAGCCUUCCCACUGGGGCCACUACUUGGGACAGGGCUCCCUGGGCUGUGGGCUCAGCUCUAUGUCUGGUCAUUCUUCCUCUUUUCAUGCAUCAAACCUAGGCCCUUUGUCAUCAGGCCCUACCUCUUUGGGGCCAAUAUGAUCUGCACAUCCGUACUCAUGGUGAAAGCUCCAUGACUCAAGGCAGCCACCCUUCAUUACUUGAGUGCAAGCCACAACAUCGUCACUCCCCUUCUUGUACCCAGGGAAGACUUACCAGGGGAUCACCAAACUUCCCCGCUGAGUCCAGACACAGCCUCAGAAUCCUGCUCAACACAGCCCUCCAUUGAUCAGCCAACAUACUUAUCCUUUUCUCAAUCCAGGGAGAGUGUUGAGCUCAUACGGUACUUUCGGCACAAACCUAACCAUUCCCCCCAGGCAGCCUACCUUUUCAUCAGCUUUGUUUUUGAACCAGAAUUCAAUGCAAUUCAGCAAACGUUCUCUGAGAAUCCACCAAGUGUCAAGGAGCAGGGGUGAAUAAACAUGGUUUCCUUGCCCUAAGGAGCUCA
Long non-coding RNA from Orcinus orca (killer whale), 878 nucleotides. RefSeq lists it as uncharacterized. The transcript is spliced from 2 exons. Lineage: Eukaryota; Metazoa; Chordata; Mammalia; Artiodactyla; Delphinidae. The record is from RefSeq and is a predicted model, not a curated record.